Molecule: transfer RNA, 76 nt
Filed under: Nitrospira sp.
Lineage: Bacteria; Pseudomonadati; Nitrospirota; Nitrospiria; Nitrospirales; Nitrospiraceae
Also listed under: 2 other names
Description: tRNA-Arg
Rfam family: tRNA
About the family: Transfer RNA (tRNA) molecules are approximately 80 nucleotides in length. Their secondary structure includes four short double-helical elements and three loops (D, anti-codon, and T loops).
Source: RNAcentral
GCGCCUGUAGCUCAGCGGAUAGAGCACUAGCCUCCGGAGCUAGGGGCCACAGGUUCAAAUCCUGUCAGGCGCACCA